This 330-nucleotide ribosomal RNA is filed under the name Salmonella enterica subsp. enterica serovar Panama. Its description in RNAcentral is "bacterial SSU rRNA". It matches the Rfam family "Bacterial small subunit ribosomal RNA", at positions 1 to 329 of the family's 1533-position model. The record is from RNAcentral. Lineage: Bacteria; Pseudomonadati; Pseudomonadota; Gammaproteobacteria; Enterobacterales; Enterobacteriaceae.
AAAUUGAAGAGUUUGAUCAUGGCUCAGAUUGAACGCUGGCGGCAGGCCUAACACAUGCAAGUCGAACGGUAGCACAGAGAGCUUGCUCUCGGGUGACGAGUGGCGGACGGGUGAGUAAUGUCUGGGAAACUGCCUGAUGGAGGGGGAUAACUACUGGAAACGGUGGCUAAUACCGCAUAAUGUCGCAAGACCAAAGAGGGGGACCUUCGGGCCUCUUGCCAUCAGAUGUGCCCAGAUGGGAUUAGCUUGUUGGUGAGGUAACGGCUCACCAAGGCGACGAUCCCUAGCUGGUCUGAGAGGAUGACCAGCCACACUGGAACUGAGACACGG